GACUAGCUAAAGUGAAUCGUGUGCUGACUAGUGAUAGAGGCUACAACAGAACUUCCUCACUGACUAGCUAAAGUUUAUAGUGUGCUGACUAGUGAUAGAGGCUUCAACAGAACUUCCUCACUGACUAGCUAAAGUUUAUAGUGUGCUGACUAGUGAUAGAGGCUACAACAGAACUUCAUCACUGACUAGCUAAAGUUUAUAGUGUGCUGACUAGUGAUAGAGGCUACAACAGGACUUCCUCACUGACUAGCUAAAGUUUAUAGUGUGUUGACUAUUGAUAGAGGCUACAACAGAACUUCCUCGCUGACUAGCUAAAGUUAAUAGUGUGACUUUUGAAGGUUGUUUUGACUGAUGAAUUACAUGUUGACUGUGUAAGGAGUUGCCAACUUAAUUUCAUGAGUGAUUGACCAAACUUUACCAGCUGUUGAUUUUUGAUGAAUGCUUCAAAGUCACAUCAUCAGUGACAAACCAUUGUUUACCAGCUGUUUACUUUUGAUGGACGCUUCAACGUCACAUCAUCAGUGACAAACCAUUGUUUACAAGCUGUUCACUUUUGAUGGAUGCUUCAACGUCACAUCAUCAGUGACAAACCAUUGUUUACCAGCUGUUUACUUUUGAUGGACGCUUCAACGUCACAUCAUCAGUGACAAACCAUUGUUUACAAGCUGUUUACUUUUGAUGGAUGCUUCAAUGUCACAUCAUCAGUGACAAACCUUGCCCAAUGUUCAGCAGCUACUGACUAUUGAUGGUAGCUCCAAUCAAUUUCAUCAGUUUAAAGUUAACCACAUGCUGACUGUUGAAGGAGGACCAACUUCAUAACCAAAGUUUACAAGCUGUAGACAGCAUUGUUACACACAAUAGUAGACCUGUUGCCUGAAAUUAUGAUGUAAGGUUUGCAGGUCAAUAUUUCACAUUUUCUUAUUCCGAAGUGGUUUCCUUGCUUUCUGUUACAGAUCAGAUACAUAUUUACCCAUAUAUGAGUUUGUCCCACCCAAUUCUACUCUUGUAGUAUGUCUGCACUUGUUCACUUUGACCAAGAACGUCAGUUAGCAACAAAACAGGAUCAGUUUUGGGUUUUAUAGUUAAAUAUUGACAUUGACAUUUUGUUUAUUUUCCAGUGGCUUUCUCAUACAAGAUAUGUAUAAUUGAUAAUAAUUACACAUAUAAGUACUUUCUAACUUUCCUAAUAUACUCUCAUAUGUUGUAUAGCACGAUAUUUCUUAGGGGAUGAUAUUUUCGCAGUUUCACGGGUCAAUUACGUGAUUGCAAAAAUAUGAUCCGCAGACACUUUAUAUGCCGAGUGUCCCAUCUCUAUCGCAAACUUUAAUCUGUAAAUUGAAUUUUCAAAUUCUAGUUAAAUUUAAGCCAGCAUAAAUAACCUGUUCUACAGUACGAUAUUGUGAAGAAUUGCCAUGUCCAUAUCUAUGUAACUAAAAGUGCUACACGUAUAAUAAUUGCAUCAACGAUGCAGCUAUGUUCGUUCUACUUAAGGCAUGCUGCAGAUGCUGAAUUUACAUCAGGAAGAAACAAAAUAUUUAUCAUAUCUUGGUAGCUAUAUAAAUGCUGCAUGGAUAGCACUUGAAGUUAGAAAUCCACCAUUAUUCAACUGUAACUGAUGGAGUUAUGGCCCUUAAAAAAAUGCAUCUGAAGGAUUUUAAGCAUGAUUUGCUGCCGUUUGUUACUCUUGUUUUAAAUUAAUGUAGUGAACUAAAUAUGUGCGUAAUCCUUUAGUGGCAUUAUAAUACUAUUCAUGUUUGUAAAAUUAAUAUUUACAUUUACUUUGAAUGAUUCCUGAAGUAAUACAGCAAUAUUAAUUGUAGCACUACAUACAGGCACACUUGUAUAGUGUGCUACAUCAUUACCCCGCCAUCUUAUCCAGACUAGUCUAUAGAGUUUGAUGGCAGCACCUUCCUGUUAUAUUUGCUGCUAAAAAUCUUGUGUAUACAUUUAUUUUGUUAAUUAUACACAAGUCUAUGUAAUGUUGAUACAGUUAUUGAUAUGACUCACUGCCUAUCUUACAUUGUCCUUGUUAUAACAGGUGCAGUGUGCAUCAUCGUUUACUACUGUUGAAUUUGCAAUAAACAAAAAAACUGUCUUUAACUUGUCCGCAUCUUUUCUCCCAACAAAAAAUGUAAUAAUACAACGAGAAGAAAAUAGCUUUAAACUUGGAGCAAGCAUUUAAAGCAAAUUCUGUACUGAAAACGUUACCUUCUGAGAGGUUUAUUUUGAAUCAUGACUAGAUUAUGUGUCAAGUACUUCUUCCAGUCUUACCAAAGAUUUUCUAAACACUAACUUCUUAACUACCUGUUAUAUGAAAUUUUAAUACCUUGAAUGUAGCUCUGCCUCAAAAUACAAAUUUUAAUUUA
Long non-coding RNA from Mizuhopecten yessoensis (Yesso scallop), 2366 nucleotides. RefSeq lists it as uncharacterized. The transcript is spliced from 2 exons. NCBI's taxonomy places the organism in Eukaryota, Metazoa, Mollusca, Bivalvia, Pectinida, Pectinidae. The record is from RefSeq and is a predicted model, not a curated record.